This 254-nucleotide ribosomal RNA is filed under the name uncultured bacterium. Its description in RNAcentral is "partial 16S ribosomal RNA". It matches the Rfam family "Bacterial small subunit ribosomal RNA", at positions 524 to 776 of the family's 1533-position model. The record is from RNAcentral.
UACGUAGGGCGCAAGCGUUGUCCGGAAUCACUGGGCGUAAAGGGCGUGUAGGCGGGAAGGAAAGUCGGGCGUGAAAUCCCCUGGGCUCAACCCAGGAACUGCACUCGAAACUUCUUUUCUUGAGUGCCGGAGAGGAAAGCGGAAUUCCUGGUGUAGAGGUGAAAUUCGUAGAUAUCAGGAGGAACACCAGUGGCGAAGGCGGCUUUCUGGACGGUAACUGACGCUGAGACGCGAAAGCGUGGGGAGCAAACAGG